GAUUUUAUAUAUAAAAGCUUCUGUCCAUUAAGGAACAAAAUGUUCCUUAAUGGACAGAAGCUUUUAUAUA
Pelobates cultripes (western spadefoot toad) is the source of this 70-nucleotide non-coding RNA. The record is from the annotation of a GenBank genome assembly. NCBI's taxonomy places the organism in Eukaryota, Metazoa, Chordata, Amphibia, Anura, Pelobatidae.